RNAcentral lists this transfer RNA (83 nucleotides) under Blautia sp. BCRC 81119. RNAcentral describes it as "tRNA-Leu". It matches the Rfam family "tRNA". From Rfam's summary of the family: Transfer RNA (tRNA) molecules are approximately 80 nucleotides in length. Their secondary structure includes four short double-helical elements and three loops (D, anti-codon, and T loops). Lineage: Bacteria; Bacillati; Bacillota; Clostridia; Lachnospirales; Lachnospiraceae. RNAcentral also lists the same sequence under 1 other name. The record is from RNAcentral.
CGCAGUGUGUCGGAAUUCGGAAGACGAGGUUGACUCAAAAUCAAUUGCUGAAAAGCGUGCAAGUUCAAAUCUUGUCACUGCGA